Molecule: long non-coding RNA, 5967 nt
Filed under: Ananas comosus (pineapple)
Lineage: Eukaryota; Viridiplantae; Streptophyta; Magnoliopsida; Poales; Bromeliaceae
Description: long non-coding RNA (ACOM_LNC018853)
Source: RNAcentral
AAACGAACAAAGUAAUAAAUAGAUCUGGUUUGCUCUCAGGAGCACUGAUGUCUUCAUAUUUCUAAGACUUCGUUUGAAAUUAUGGAAAGAUUGCAUUACGUGCGGUCAGAAAGUACGUUAAAAAAAAUAUCAUGUUUGCUACGUAAUAUUGCGUUCCGCAUAUUACGAUUAGUCAGUUACGACAUAUUUUCUGCCGUCCCACCGGAGAAUGCAGAAGCAUAUCCCUAUUUGCUUUUUCCUCAACUCCAUUUUAUCUAAUAGUAUUAGAUAGGUCUCAAUACCAAACUAAACCUAAACCGUUUUUUAUGAUGGGACUGCGGAAUCAACAAUCGGUUUCGUUAGAAUUGAUCUAGCAUAUUUAAAGUAUUUAGAGAAUAAAUUUUAUGAUUUUUCGAUAUCAUUUACCUACCGAUCAAAGAGUUUAAAAUCAAUAAUUUUUAAUAAUUGAUGUAUAUUAUUUACAAGUUUAACAGUGUAAAAAUAUUCAAAUCAGAUGAAAUUUUGAUAAAAAAUUUUUGUACUAUUAAUUAUAAGUGUACUACGAAUUAUAAGUGUACUACGAAAAUUAAAUUAAAAUUUACAGAUUAAUCUGAACUAUAAAUCAUUCCAAAUCGGCUAUUCAAUCUUUCAGAAUUUUAGUUGUGCCAGCCAAAUUUUCAACUUGUUUGAUUUAAGUCGGUAAUCGAUACUUUGACUUUAAAUAUAAUAUAAUUACUAAUUUUAAUAAAUUUAUAGUUCUAAAAAUUGCAUGAAAUAUGUUCAAUAAAUCUGUAAAGAAAAAUAAUAUAUUUAAUUUUUAAAGUCAAAGUAUCAAACAAAUUAAAAGGAUAGAUAGUAUAUCAAAGGUAAAAUUAAAAUUUUGAAAAAUUGAAUAGUUAAUUUAAAAUGAUUUAUAGUUCAAAUAAGUUUUGUAAAGUUUUACCCAAUUAAUAAAUUGUUGUACAAAAACAAAUUAAAAUAUCUUAACAUUGUAAUGUUCAUAAUUAAACCCUCAAAAUUCAUUAGCUCUUAGGGCGUGUUUGAUUUGCUUCUUUUUUAUCCUGAAAUCGGAAUCGGCAUGGAUAAGUCUGUUUGUAGAUGUUUGGUACGCGGGAGCCCCAUUCCGAUUCCAAUUCCCGAAUGGAUUGAGAAUCCCUCAAUCACCUCUUUUUUCAAUCAGGCCUAGGAGGCCGGAUUGAAAGUUGAAUGCGGACGGAAUGAUAUUUACUCGGAUUAAAUUUAUUUUUUCAACAUUCUUAAUUAAAAUAUGAGUUAAAAUUUAAAAAUUAAAUAUAUAAUUUUAAAUUUUAAUUUAAACUUAAAUUAAAAAUUAAAAUUUAAUCAAAUAUUUCGAAUCUAAUUUAUGAAUUUGAAUUUAAAUUAAAUUUUAACUUAUAUAAAGUUUUAUUCAAAUUUUAUUUCAAACUUAAAUUAAAUUUAUGGAUUCAAAUUAAAAUUUAAAUUGUAAUUUUAAGUUUGAAUUUGAAUAAAUUAAAAUUUAGUUUCAUAUUUUGAAUUAUCCACUCAACUUCAAAGUUUAAUUUUUUUAAAAAAAAUAGAUUUAAAAUUUUGACAUUAUUUCAAAAUUUUGAUGUAAAUUUUUAAUAUUUAAUUUUUAAUUUGAAUUUAAAUUAAUAUAUUAUAAAGAUAAUGUUAGUAUAUUAAUUUGAUUACGUUUUUUAUAUCUACCUGAACCAAACACCGACAAUGGGAAUGAUUUAUUCCAAUUCCGAUUCAGGUGAUGAACCCAACAUAAUUAGGUAAUGAGUCAUUCCAAUUCCGAUUCCAGCUUAUUUUGAUUCCGAUUCCGAUUCCGACUCCGACUUCGAACCAAACACGCCUAACCUAUUUUUCUCAUCAAAUAAUUUUGUGAAUUUGCCUAGCAGACACUAAAAAUAGAACAAAAUGUCUAAUCCUUCUCUCAGCUAUCUGAUAGGUCGUCUGGACUGUGAGAAACAAUAUCAUUUUCAGAGAGAAAUACACUACCCCUUACCAGAUGAUUGAACGGGUCAAAUUGGUUAGAAAAUUGAUAACAACUAAUAGCUGAUUUUCAGUCUCUGGGUCCUUUUUCUACUCACCUUCUUAUUUUCUUUUUUCUUUUUGCUUCUCUUUUAUCUCUUUGUUUUGCUUUUCUUUUUCUUAGAAAGUUUUGAUUGCUUUUAUCUUAUAUACUUAAUUUACUUUUCUUAUUGAAUGGAGCGGAUAAAUCACUAUCUCUCAUCAAAAAGAAAAAUAGUGAAUUUGAACAAAAAUUAUCACAUAUUGUAGUUUAUUCGUGGUAGAUGAUGACAAUGAUGUUGAUUUUUAUAAUAACCAAUAGAUUCGAUAAAUGUGACUAAAUAUUCACAAGAGAUAUUGCCUUUUAUCACUUUUCUUUAUUAAUAUUGGUUGUUAUCUCUAUUAUUACUGUCGACAUAACUUCUGUUGAAGUUAACGGACAUCUAGUAAUUAUUAUUAAAUUUCAUAAAAGAUAAUGUGUGUAAUCCUCUUAUGCACCGGAUAAUUUAGCCAUUCAUUUAAUGUUGAGAUCGACUGAUCAAAUAAUCAGUGUCAUCAAAUAAAUAGCGCGAUAGCUCCGUGUGCAGAAAAAUUAUUAUUAUUUCUAACGAAAAAAAGAAAAUGAUGAAGAUAAAAUCAACAGAAGAAGCACGUGCGACACAUUUUUACUAUUUUUUGACCACUUGUGAGUGGUGUACCUGUAUAUUUUGAAAAUUGAAUACACAAAAUUAAAUAAAUGAAAGGAAAAGGAAAAGAAAAAGGAAAAGGAAAAGAAAAGAAAAGGCGAGUAUGCGACGGCCAGUGGCUGUUUUUGUCGUUUUGCAGUGCUCAGCUUUUUUUUUUUUUUUUUUUUUUCUUUGGCCUUUCCUUUUCCGAAUGUUCGAAAGCCACAAAAAAAGACGGGGGGCGGUGCAGCGAAUCUCAAGUAAUCCGAACCGCUCAGCGAGGAGAUUUCUGAUGACGAAUGCCGUGUCCAGCGGAGUGUAACUUUGGCAAGUUGUCGACCUCGAGUUUCUUAAGCUCGUCAAGAAUUAUUCCUGGACAUGAUUAUGGACCCGGAGUUUGAACAUUCCCAACUUUUUUUUUUUUUUUUUUUUUGGGAUAAUUACUUGUAUAUCUAUCGUACGUUUGAAAAUAUCCGAUUUAUUUUUAUUUUUUUUAAAAAAAACUACUCUUCAUAUGUUCCACUGUUAUUGCAAAAUAUCCUCACAGUUAUCUUAUGUUAAGUUAACUUGAGUUAAACGUGAGUUAAAUAUCUACCAUAAUUAAAAAAAAUAAAAUGUCAAUUCUAUCCUUAACUUAAGAGCAAAUAAAAAAUAUUGGUGACGAUAGAGGAAUAGAUUAGAAAAGGCCAAAAGUCAAAAUAAGGACAAAUAAAAAAGUCAGUGAUGAUGGAAGAAUAUAUUUGAAAGGCUAAAAUAGUAAUUUUAUAGAGAUAAUAGAGUUAAUUAACAGAUUUUAACUCUAGGAGUAUAUUAGAAAUAUGUUGGAACGUAGAAAGAGUAUUUUCAAUAUUAAUCUUCUAAAAUGUGUAAAUCGAAAAGUAGGAAAUUUUUCAGAAAUAUUUAAACAAUUGUCCUUUUUUUCCUUUUUUUUUUUAAAACCCCACAUUAUAGGGAGACUUGAAAGGUACCAUACAAAUAAAUAAAUAUAUGAAUAAGACCCAAAACACUCGACCUUAGAUUGUUUGUCGACUUUGUUUAUCCGAAAUCGAAAAAAAAAAAGAAGCUUUUUUUAUGUAUUCGAGAAUAUUAUUUUUAUAAAAAAUUGCUAUAAAUAUUGCAUUUCUGAAUAUUUAUUACAAGAUACGAAAUUUUUUGAUUCGUUCGUUUGCGUCUUUUGAUAUAUUAUAUGAAUUUAUUAAUAUAUUAAUGUCUUAUAAUUCAAUCCUUAUUUGGUUCAAAAUAUUUUCCAAACUAAAAAAAUUUAUUUGUCGAAAAAAAAAAUUUUCAUAAUCAUUUUUAUUGUACAUAUAACAAAUUAUAAUUUUUUUUAACAUAAUUAGCUUUAACAGUGAUAGACUUCUAAAGAUUUUGAAUUUCCAUGCACAAACAAUUUGGAGAUUUAGCUCAUAUCUAACCAUUUGUGUUUAAAUUUAAAUUCCUUUUUUUUUUUUAGACAUUUUUAGGAUUGAGUGUUUCGAAGAGCCGGGUCUAUAAACUGUCGAAGAUAGUCCAUGCAUUAAUAUUAUUUUCUUUAUUUUUUUAUUAUUUCGACGGUUGAGAUCUUCAUCAAGAUGUGAUCAAACCAUGUUUUGGCUCGUGAUCCGUUGCGUGUACGAUACUUUACUCACGUGCGGUGUGUCUCCGUAUAGCAGUAAUUAGUUUUUUUUUUUUUUUUUAAGUGUAAAAAACAGGGUUGUAUUAGGAUUUGGGAACAGGGGUGGAGAGUGUUAUGGAUUCACGUAUCCCAGCACUGUCUAAAGCAAUCAAAUUACGAGGAUUAAUUAAUUAUUAAUUUAAGAUUAGAUAAUAUUUUAUGCUAAAAUUUUAACUCAGUACUCAGUACCAUGAUUGUUGUAGCACAUACUCCUUCCACGAAUUACGAAAAAUUCGCCUCAGAACCACUCGAUGUAAUUAUUAAUAAUUUACCUUUAAUUCGAUUAUUAUCAAAUGGAUUAUCAUGCACAUUUCAAAACUCAAAAACUUUGGGGAAAGAAAUUAAUUUUUUUUAAAAAGGGUUUAAUUGAUUUAUAAAAAAAAAUAAAUGAUUCGAAAUACCUUCAAUGCUUUAUGCUAGAAAAUAGUUAGUUGUGCAUUGCAUGUUUCUUUUAUCAAAAGCACAAUUUUUUUUUUUUUUUUUAUCAAAAGCACAAAUUAAACUAACCAUCUUAACCUUCAAUUUCACAAGGACUAGUGGAACUUAAUGAAUACUGAAAAAAUAUGCUAAAUAUCAAUGUGAGGAAUUAUUAUUAUAACGACUUAAUCUAUUAGCACUAAUCAUUUAUUAGACUCAAACUACUAAUUUAAAAUGAUUAUGCAUGAUUAUUGUUAUUGGAGCCUGUUAUACACCAGUUGAUGUGACAUCUAUUUUAUAUCUUUUGUUGGUAAAUCAGUUUUGAUAUCAAAUUUUACUUUCUGGCAAACUAAUUUUACUAUUAAGUAUAACAAUUCAGUCCACUAAGUAUUAAUAAUUUAUUAGGUUCAAAUCACCAACUCAAAAUACUUAAAUUCAGUUAUUAUUAUUAGAAAUUCUUGAUGCUUAUAUUUUUCAUAUAGAACUUCUUUUCUAUCCGACGUGGAAUUGCUAGGGCCUUAUAAUUUCAAAUUGCUUUUGCUAUAUUAUAAAUGUAGAGAAUAAUGAGAAGUUUAUUUUAGUAGAUACUGUUCCCUCAAAACCAAUCUAUGCAUCUCAGUAUGCAGAUCUAGCAUGUAAUUUGUUAAGUACACAAUAGAUCCAUUUGUCUGGAUUAAUAUAAUCUCCUUUUAUAUGUUUAAUGCUUAAGAAGAUAAACCAAUUAUUCUACCAACCUCCUCAUUUUGCUUUAGCUGCUUCAAGAAUAGUAUUAUUUGAAUGGCAGUUUUUUUUAUUUUAUUUUUGUCUCCUUUUUAUUUUAUUUUUUUUUCAAUAUACAGCCUAAAAUCAAGGGCUAAUGUGGACCAACCACACCUCUAAUUGAUACAAACACUAUAACUCAGUUUAAGCUUAAUUAAUAAAAUUUGUGCCACUGUGCAAGCAAACAAAUUAAGUGUCCCUAAGAAUUUUAAAAACUGGUUUAUUCCCCACUAAUGGAGGAAAUAAAUCUCUAACCACCGUCUUGUUAGGUAGUAGAGAGUUGUUAGAGGAAAACAUGGUCGGCUGAUUAAGUAAAUCGUGCUGAAGACUUGUUUGGCGCAAACUACAGAUGCACCAUAAACUAUAACUUUUCCGAAUAUUCUAGCGGUUUUGCUAAACCCGUCAAAAUCCAUCGAAAGUUUAAAUUUUUAUAGACACUCUUUCAUGGCAUCAAUGCUCAAAAUAACCCUUUUUGAAAGAUACUUAUGAAAAUUA